ACGUAUCUCUGACGGUGGUGCGGCGCGCCCAGCUCCUGCCCGCGAGGGCCGUGCAGCGGGCGACCGUCCCCGUCUCCACCACAAACCCACUGUGAACCUUCACGGCAGAGGGAGGGAGACCUCUCAAAGCCGCAUACACAAACCCCAGUCAAAAGAAUGUCGUGCGGACCAGUGCCGCCUAAAACACAAAA
This 191-nucleotide unclassified non-coding RNA is filed under the name uncultured Trechisporales. RNAcentral describes it as "sequence contains ITS1". Lineage: Eukaryota; Fungi; Basidiomycota; Agaricomycetes; Trechisporales. The record is from RNAcentral.